This 497-nucleotide ribosomal RNA is filed under the name uncultured bacterium. RNAcentral describes it as "partial 16S ribosomal RNA". It matches the Rfam family "Bacterial small subunit ribosomal RNA", at positions 28 to 507 of the family's 1533-position model. The record is from RNAcentral.
GAUGAACGCUGGCGGCGUGCCUAAUACAUGCAAGUCGAGCGAACGGACGAGAAGCUUGCUUGUCUGAUGUUAGCGGCGGACGGGUGAGUAACACGUGGAUAACCUACCUAUAAGACUGGGAUAACUUCGGGAAACCGGAGCUAAUACCGGAUAAUAUUUUGAACCGCAUGGUUCAAAAGUGAAAGACGGUCUUGCUGUCACUUAUAGAUGGAUCCGCGCUGCAUUAGCUAGUUGGUAAGGUAACGGCUUACCAAGGCAACGAUGCAUAGCCGACCUGAGAGGGUGAUCGGCCACACUGGAACUGAGACACGGUCCAGACUCCUACGGGAGGCAGCAGUAGGGAAUCUUCCGCAAUGGGCGAAAGCCUGACGGAGCAACGCCGCGUGAGUGAUGAAGGUCUUCGGAUCGUAAAACUCUGUUAUUAGGGAAGAACAUAUGUGUAAGUAACUGUGCACAUCUUGACGGUACCUAAUCAGAAAGCCACGGCUAACUACGUG